This 440-nucleotide ribosomal RNA is filed under the name uncultured Flavisolibacter sp. Its description in RNAcentral is "bacterial SSU rRNA". It matches the Rfam family "Bacterial small subunit ribosomal RNA", at positions 335 to 772 of the family's 1533-position model. The record is from RNAcentral. Lineage: Bacteria; Pseudomonadati; Bacteroidota; Chitinophagia; Chitinophagales; Chitinophagaceae.
ACUCCUACGGGAGGCAGCAGUAAGGAAUAUUGGUCAAUGGACGCAAGUCUGAACCAGCCAUGCCGCGUGAAGGAUGAAGGUCCUCUGGAUUGUAAACUUCUUUUAUAUGGGACGAGACCCGGGAAUUCUUUCCCGAUUGACGGUACCAUAAGAAUAAGCACCGGCUAACUCCGUGCCAGCAGCCGCGGUAAUACGGAGGGUGCAAGCGUUAUCCGGAUUCACUGGGUUUAAAGGGUGCGUAGGAGGGUAGGUAAGUCAGUGGUGAAAUCUUCGAGCUUAACUCGGAAACUGCCGUUGAUACUAUCUAUCUUGAAUACCGUGGAGGUGAGCGGAAUAUGUCAUGUAGCGGUGAAAUGCUUAGAUAUGACAUAGAACACCAAUUGCGAAGGCAGCUCGCUACACGAAUAUUGACUCUGAGGCACGAAAGCGUGGGGAUCAAA